GGCUGCAUCCAUAAGCAAUGGGGCGCUCUCAGGCUCUGCCAUUCCUCCUGCUGCUCUGCCUGGAAAUCACCCUGUGCUCCGCCGGGGUCCCCGGAACAGAGUUCAUCACAGCUUUUAUGCAGAACCAUAAUAGAAGUACCGGCAAUCCCACCCUCAGCCUCUCCAUCACUGCCUUACAGGACUCCACCACGGUCAGCGUCAGGAUCAAUACCAUCAGCGCCACUUCAUUCAAUCCAAAGUUCACCUUAAAUAAACUGGAGGAAAAGACCAUUCCACUUCCAUCUAAGAUCCAGCUGAUGGAUUCUGGGAGCUCCUCGUAUGUCGUGUCUGUCUCUUCCAAUAACCCGGUGUCAGUUGUUUCUAUAAACUUCAAGGAACAAAGCUCGGACAGCGCAUCUCUAUUUCCAGUGACGGU
This is a long non-coding RNA of Hyla sarda, 415 nucleotides long. RefSeq lists it as uncharacterized. The transcript has 3 exons. Lineage: Eukaryota; Metazoa; Chordata; Amphibia; Anura; Hylidae. The record is from RefSeq and is a predicted model, not a curated record.